AUUGAACGCUGGCGGCAGGCCUAACACAUGCAAGUCGAGCGGAGCGGCAGACGGGUGAGUAAUGCCUAGGAAUCUGCCUGGUAGUGGGGGAUAACGUCCGGAAACGGGCGCUAAUACCGCAUACUAUCAGAUGAGCCUAGGGCGGAGUUGCUAGUUGGUGGGGUAAAGGUCUACCAAGGCGACGAUCCGUAACUGGUCUGAGAGUAUGAUACGUCACACUGGAACUGAGACACGGUCCAGACUCCUCCGGGUGGCAGCAGUGGUGAAGAUUGGCCAAUGGGCGAAAGCCUGAUCCAGCCAUGCCGCGUGUGUUAAGAAGUUCUUCGGAUUGUAAAGCACUUUAAGUUGGGAGGCGUUACCAACAGAAUAAGCACCGGCUAACUCCGUGCCAGCAGCCGCGGUAAUAC
This 407-nucleotide ribosomal RNA is filed under the name uncultured bacterium. RNAcentral describes it as "partial 16S ribosomal RNA". It matches the Rfam family "Bacterial small subunit ribosomal RNA", at positions 30 to 526 of the family's 1533-position model. The record is from RNAcentral.